UAGCGGGUGCGAGUCCCGUCCGGGUAAGCGCCGGAGCGCCCGGUAGCAGGCCCCAGGUUUGCGGGGGAGACCCCGCGGCCCGAGCGGGGCGUCGAAUGCCUUUACGGAGGGAGCAAGAACGCGGGCCGCAACAUCA
RNAcentral lists this non-coding RNA (136 nucleotides) under Sorangium sp. So ce836. The record is from RNAcentral. Lineage: Bacteria; Pseudomonadati; Myxococcota; Polyangiales; Polyangiaceae.